AGAGUUUGAUCCUGGCUCAGAUUGAACGCUGGCGGCAUGCUUUACACAUGCAAGUCGAACGGGGUUAAGGGGCUUGCUCCUUAAUCUAGUGGCGAACGGGUGAGUAAUGCAUCGGAACGUACCCGGGAGUGGGGGAUAACGCACCGAAAGGUGUGCUAAUACCGCAUAUUCUGUGAGCAGGAAAGCAGGGGACCUUAGGGCCUGUGCUUCCGGAGCGGCCGAUGUCGGAUUAGCUAGUUGGUGAGGUAAAGGCUCACAAGGCGACGAUCCGUAGCGGGUCUGAGA
RNAcentral lists this ribosomal RNA (285 nucleotides) under uncultured beta proteobacterium. RNAcentral's name for it is "partial 16S ribosomal RNA". It matches the Rfam family "Bacterial small subunit ribosomal RNA", at positions 8 to 297 of the family's 1533-position model. The record is from RNAcentral. Lineage: Bacteria; Pseudomonadati; Pseudomonadota; Betaproteobacteria.